This 447-nucleotide ribosomal RNA is filed under the name uncultured bacterium. RNAcentral describes it as "partial 16S ribosomal RNA". It matches the Rfam family "Bacterial small subunit ribosomal RNA", at positions 29 to 523 of the family's 1533-position model. The record is from RNAcentral.
AGCGAACGCUGGCGGCAGGCUUAACACAUGCAAGUCGAACGCCCCGCAAGGGGAGUGGCAGACGGGUGAGUAACACGUGGGAACGUACCCUUUGGUUCGGAAUAACUUGGGGAAACUCAAGCUAAUACCGGAUAAGCCCUUAUGGGGAAAGGUUUACUGACGAAGGAUCGGCCCGCGUGUGAUUAGCUAGUUGGUGAGGUAAUGGCUCACCAAGGCGACGAUCAGUAGCUGGUCUGAGAGGAUGAUCAGCCAAACUGGGACUGAGACACGGCCCAGACUGCUACGGAAGGCAGCAGUGGGGAAUAUUGGACAAUGGGGGCAACCCUGAUCCAGCCAUGCCGCGUGAGUGAUGAAGGCCUUAGGGUUGUAAAGCGCUUUUACCCGGGACGAUAAUGACUGUACCGGGAGAAUAAGCCCCGGCUAACUUCGUGCCAGCCGCCGCAGUAA